This 2100-nucleotide ribosomal RNA is filed under the name Staphylococcus aureus. RNAcentral describes it as "partial 23S ribosomal RNA". It matches the Rfam family "Bacterial large subunit ribosomal RNA", at positions 822 to 2925 of the family's 2925-position model. The record is from RNAcentral. Lineage: Bacteria; Bacillati; Bacillota; Bacilli; Caryophanales; Staphylococcaceae.
AGAAAUUCCAAUCGAACCUGGAGAUAGCUGGUUCUCUCCGAAAUAGCUUUAGGGCUAGCCUCAAGUGAUGAUUAUUGGAGGUAGAGCACUGUUUGGACGAGGGGCCCCUCUCGGGUUACCGAAUUCAGACAAACUCCGAAUGCCAAUUAAUUUAACUUGGGAGUCAGAACAUGGGUGAUAAGGUCCGUGUUCGAAAGGGAAACAGCCCAGACCACCAGCUAAGGUCCCAAAAUAUAUGUUAAGUGGAAAAGGAUGUGGCGUUGCCCAGACAACUAGGAUGUUGGCUUAGAAGCAGCCAUCAUUUAAAGAGUGCGUAAUAGCUCACUAGUCGAGUGACACUGCGCCGAAAAUGUACCGGGGCUAAACAUAUUACCGAAGCUGUGGAUUGUCCUUUGGACAAUGGUAGGAGAGCGUUCUAAGGGCGUUGAAGCAUGAUCGUAAGGACAUGUGGAGCGCUUAGAAGUGAGAAUGCCGGUGUGAGUAGCGAAAGACGGGUGAGAAUCCCGUCCACCGAUUGACUAAGGUUUCCAGAGGAAGGCUCGUCCGCUCUGGGUUAGUCGGGUCCUAAGCUGAGGCCGACAGGCGUAGGCGAUGGAUAACAGGUUGAUAUUCCUGUACCACCUAUAAUCGUUUUAAUCGAUGGGGGGACGCAGUAGGAUAGGCGAAGCGUGCGAUUGGAUUGCACGUCUAAGCAGUAAGGCUGAGUAUUAGGCAAAUCCGGUACUCGUUAAGGCUGAGCUGUGAUGGGGAGAAGACAUUGUGUCUUCGAGUCGUUGAUUUCACACUGCCGAGAAAAGCCUCUAGAUAGAAAAUAGGUGCCCGUACCGCAAACCGACACAGGUAGUCAAGAUGAGAAUUCUAAGGUGAGCGAGCGAACUCUCGUUAAGGAACUCGGCAAAAUGACCCCGUAACUUCGGGAGAAGGGGUGCUCUUUAGGGUUAACGCCCAGAAGAGCCGCAGUGAAUAGGCCCAAGCGACUGUUUAUCAAAAACACAGGUCUCUGCUAAACCGUAAGGUGAUGUAUAGGGGCUGACGCCUGCCCGGUGCUGGAAGGUUAAGAGGAGUGGUUAGCUUCUGCGAAGCUACGAAUCGAAGCCCCAGUAAACGGCGGCCGUAACUAUAACGGUCCUAAGGUAGCGAAAUUCCUUGUCGGGUAAGUUCCGACCCGCACGAAAGGCGUAACGAUUUGGGCACUGUCUCAACGAGAGACUCGGUGAAAUCAUAGUACCUGUGAAGAUGCAGGUUACCCGCGACAGGACGGAAAGACCCCGUGGAGCUUUACUGUAGCCUGAUAUUGAAAUUCGGCACAGCUUGUACAGGAUAGGUAGGAGCCUUUGAAACGUGAGCGCUAGCUUACGUGGAGGCGCUGGUGGGAUACUACCCUAGCUGUGUUGGCUUUCUAACCCGCACCACUUAUCGUGGUGGGAGACAGUGUCAGGCGGGCAGUUUGACUGGGGCGGUCGCCUCCUAAAAGGUAACGGAGGCGCUCAAAGGUUCCCUCAGAAUGGUUGGAAAUCAUUCAUAGAGUGUAAAGGCAUAAGGGAGCUUGACUGCGAGACCUACAAGUCGAGCAGGGUCGAAAGACGGACUUAGUGAUCCGGUGGUUCCGCAUGGAAGGGCCAUCGCUCAACGGAUAAAAGCUACCCCGGGGAUAACAGGCUUAUCUCCCCCAAGAGUUCACAUCGACGGGGAGGUUUGGCACCUCGAUGUCGGCUCAUCGCAUCCUGGGGCUGUAGUCGGUCCCAAGGGUUGGGCUGUUCGCCCAUUAAAGCGGUACGCGAGCUGGGUUCAGAACGUCGUGAGACAGUUCGGUCCCUAUCCGUCGUGGGCGUAGGAAAUUUGAGAGGAGCUGUCCUUAGUACGAGAGGACCGGGAUGGACAUACCUCUGGUGUACCAGUUGUCGUGCCAACGGCAUAGCUGGGUAGCUAUGUGUGGACGGGAUAAGUGCUGAAAGCAUCUAAGCAUGAAGCCCCCCUCAAGAUGAGAUUUCCCAACUUCGGUUAUAAGAUCCCUCAAAGAUGAUGAGGUUAAUAGGUUCGAGGUGGAAGCAUGGUGACAUGUGGAGCUGACGAAUACUAAUCGAUCGAAGACUUAAUCAA